Molecule: long non-coding RNA, 558 nt
Organism: Carassius auratus (goldfish)
Lineage: Eukaryota; Metazoa; Chordata; Actinopteri; Cypriniformes; Cyprinidae
Exons: 4
Source: RefSeq, a predicted model, not a curated record
UAUUAUAUAAUAAUACUGUAUUAUAUACUUAGACUUGUUAGUGUAUAAAAGUAACAUACUGUAAUAUUCUGUGGGUUCUGGUGGGUGGAGGAUUAGUGGUGCCACUGAACUGUUCUGUGAUGGAGCAUCAGUGAGGAUGCAGACCCUGGUAUCUGGCUGAUGGUUCACUGGAAUGCUGACUGGCUGCUGACUGACUUGCUGCUGGUUGACUGGGCAGUGUCACCUGUCCCUGUCUCUCCUCUCUAGCCAUGUCCUUUUUCUUCACUCUCACUUUCCCUUCUCUGAGUGUCCUCGUUCUUUUUUCCUCAACCUUUGAAACUGAUAGAGGUCUAGGGGUGCAUCGUGGAGCAGGGCCCUCCUCUUUUUGACCACAGGACGGUGUACAAAGAUUGUGGGAAUAGCAUCUGCUGGGAAGAUAUACAUUCGCACACCUUUCUCUGACUGAGUGGAGCAUCCCCAUGCAGCACAGUAAACCACGGUGGAGACUUUGCAAGGACAACAUGAAAGAAAGGACACAUACAAAAUGCUUGUCAUGCUAUUAAAUUUAUUAGAAAUGUA